GUGCGCUCCAGUAAUCCAGUGAGAUAGUUGUAGUGUAUAGGUUUGUUUUAAUUAUUGAGUUUCUAUCUGUUGUUUUUCCUGUUUCCUGUGUUCUUCAUUUUUGUCUUCAUUCCUCUUCGUUACUGUGUCUGCUCCUGAGUCUACAGUGUCAGUGCAGCAAAGAAGCGAGACCAAACAGCAGUAAAAUAACAAGAGCUUGCAUAGAUGAGGAAAUAUCAUCAGGAUAAUCUUUACUUCCAUUGAGAGAGAUGGUCAAUUUCCAGUCAGAAUGGGAGGAGAAAAUCGUUUAUAAAGCAUAUGAGGACAGUGGGGAGCGCUAAUAUUGGCCAAUGUGUCAAUAAUAUCUUGAGAAGAUUAAUGAUUGAUGAGCUGGCUAUGAAAUUCUCAUGUACUGGCCGUGCAUCAAACGGGAAAACAAAAACUCCAUUUCAUGGGAGUGAGAUAUCGAAAUUCAUACCGUACUGAUUGCUGUUCAAAAGUUGUUUGGUGACAUUGCAACUGAAGUGAAAUAUGGAUCGUUGGCGUCAAAAUGACUUCAACAAGCCAGAACAAGGGUGUUGAGAAGGACCAAGAUCAGAGAGACUAUGCCUCAUGAAGCUCAAAUCGAGGAUGAUAGCAGUUCAAAGUAAAAAUAUAUAAUUAGUUAUAAAUUGAAAGUUCAAUUUUCAUAAUAAUUAAUAAAAAUCAUUGCAUUUUAUUGAAAAUAAUGUUUUCUUAUUUACAUUUUUCGCUCAUAAUGACAUACUCUGAAGUUAAGCUUUAAAGAAAAUAAACUAAUAUAGAUAUUAACAUUUAAUAUUUCAAUAGAUAUUCAAAGUAAUAA
This is a long non-coding RNA of Nilaparvata lugens (brown planthopper), 823 nucleotides long. RefSeq lists it as uncharacterized. The record is from RefSeq and is a predicted model, not a curated record. Lineage: Eukaryota; Metazoa; Arthropoda; Insecta; Hemiptera; Delphacidae. The transcript is spliced from 5 exons.